Molecule: ribosomal RNA, 279 nt
Filed under: uncultured bacterium
Lineage: Bacteria
Description: partial 16S ribosomal RNA
Rfam family: Bacterial small subunit ribosomal RNA
Source: RNAcentral
UGCCAGCAGCCGCGGUAAUACGGAGGGUGCAAGCGUUAUCCGGAUUCAUUGGGUUUAAAGGGUGCGCAGGCGGUUUAUUAAGUCAGUGGUGAAAUCUCUCGGCUCAACCGAGAAACUGCCAUUGAUACUGAUAGGCUUGAAUAUAGUUGGAGUAGGCGGAAUGUGUAGUGUAGCGGUGAAAUGCUUAGAUAUUACACAGAACACCGAUAGCGAAGGCAGCUUACUAAGCCAUUACUGACGCUGAGGCACGAAAGCGUGGGGAGCGAGCAGGAUUAGAUA